Long non-coding RNA from Danio aesculapii, 2759 nucleotides. RefSeq lists it as uncharacterized. Lineage: Eukaryota; Metazoa; Chordata; Actinopteri; Cypriniformes; Danionidae. The transcript has 10 exons. The record is from RefSeq and is a predicted model, not a curated record.
UGUACAUUUUGGAAACAAAAAAAAAUACAAACAAUGUUAUUAACAAACAAUUAACAAACAAUUAUUAAUAGAAUAUUUAGAGAACUUUGACUUUAUUUCUGUCACAUGAACAAAAGCUCUUAAUGAAAUUUCUGUUGUUCAUUCGAAGUCACCAUGAUGGAGGACAGAGUCUGCUUUAGUUGGGCUCUUCAACUAUUCAUUCUGCCACUAGUUUUUAUUUUGGCUGGUAUAAUUAAUUGUGUAUGUUAAGUCUGAUAAGAUUGGCUAUGAUAUGGAAAUCAACCCUCACUUGCUCGUGCUUGGAUAUCUUGUUAGUUUUAAAUGAAAAGUGAAUACCAUAUGUGUGUAACCAGGUGAUGGUUGAUAGGGGGUAAAAUAUUUAUAAAAAUGACGAAAAAAGGUGUAGGAAAAUACAGACAGGACCCUUUAAGAAACCUCCGAUGACGUCAUCACGCGUAUGUGUACGCGAACGCGCGCGCUCCCGCAAAUUAAUGAGGAAGUAACUGUGCAUUGCUGUAUGCGCGAGCGACCAACGAUUGACCAACGAUUGGUAUGAUAUCCAGUUGGAUGUUGACGCAGGAUUGCGUUGGUCUGUGAGAAUGAGUAUCAUUGCAAGUGGUAAAUGUACAGAUGAAGCUGUUUACAACUUAGGUGUUUGAGUGCACAGUGGGAAACACAGGGAAAACAGGAAAUGGCGUUAAAUCCUGGAUUGUUGAAUCUCUUUCUCUUUCUCGUGCAGAUGGAAAACAGGGUUUGAGCUUGGACACGUGAACUACUCUUAAAUCUUCUCCUGAAGCUUCCAGAACAAUUUCAUAGUUCAGGGAUCCUAGUUUCCGAAUGAUUCUAUAAGGACCCAACCACUUUGGAGCAAGCUUAGCAGAAAAAGACUUCUCUGCUUUUGAAAGAGGAAAUCAUCAGGAUAAACAUCUCGUGGUUGCAAUAACACAUCCAUAAGUCCUCGAAGAGCUCUAUUGAGGUUAAGCUCAGCUGGAGUCACUCCCGUGGACUUAUUUACCGCAGAAUUAAUAACAAACCUGAACUCUGAGUUCCUGAAAUACAGAAGACACAAACUGAGGUCCUCGAUCCGACAAGAUGUAAUCUGGAACUCCCCAACGAGUAAGAAUUUCUCGGACCAGAGUCUGGACCAUAAUCCUUGGCUGCAGAUGAAGGCAGUUUUUGUCUUGGCUGUUCCUUUCCAUUGGCACCUGCCAGUAGCCACUGUUGAGGUCCAGGGUAGAAAAAACAACAUCACCAUUUAAGGAUUCAAGAAUUUUCUUGGAUGGAAUACCGGAGAGGCCCAAGCAGAAGAGGACGGCUCAAUGAUAUCAGCCUCCAACAUCUUAUCAAUGAGUUGCUUGAUCACUCUCUGUUUUGUUGGUGACACUCUGUAAGGCUUUUGUUUUAUCGGUACAUCUUGGUUGACAAAAAUCUGACAAGUAUUGUGGCAUGCUUCCCACAAAAGAUUGAUUUCUUCACUGACUGGACUAGGAGGAACUGCAGAAAAGAGAGCUAAAGGCCACUGAAAAACAGGUAAUCCAAACCCAACACAACAGGAAAAGCAAGCAUCUCAGAAGCCAAAACCACCACAGGUAAGUAUACUGUUGAAGUUUGAACGGUGAUAUGAACUUUUCCCCAUCCUAAAGGUUGUCGGGCUCCUCCAUCAGCUAAAUAAAUUGGACCUUCUGUCCAAGGCUUGAGGUGUUGAAUAUGAUGACCCAUAGUUUCCCAUAGUUUCUCAUUCAGAAGGGUGUAUGAAGAUCCAGUGUCCACCAAACCAUGUCCUUUCCAGGUAUGGAUGGUUACAGGAACCAACAACUGCUGAGGAAGAUAUGAAGAAAAGGGACAAGUAGUUUGGAUUCUGCCCAGAACUGUUCUGUGGACAUAAAGUUGGAGGAUGAGGUCCUUUACACUUCCAACAGAAGGGUUUUUUAGUGCCAUCAUGUGCUGUAACUGGAGUAUUUAACUGAACAUUAACAGGAGUACUGGCACUAGUUUUUCAAGGUUUUUUCGUUGCUCAUACUGUAGCUGAUUUUCUUUGUCUUUUUCCAGUUGUUGACCAAGACGGACAAGACCAUCCACAGUAUUAACACCGUUACUGCGCAGUUGACUGGCCAUUUGUGGAUUUAUGUUCUUAAGAAUCAGCUUGAUGAUUUCUUCCUCUGUGAUGAGUGGUUUCCAGCGUUUACACAAAGCUCUAUACAUAUAGAAAGGCAGCAAGAAACUUGGAUUCAAAAUUCUGCCAAGUAGUGGUUUUAUGUCUAGCGACAUCCCACCAGUCUCUAGCUGUUCCAUGAAGCACAUUCCGGAGUGUGGCUAUUAACUCUUCAACAGAAAGUGGAUGGAGUGACAUGAAAUCAUAACACUUCUCCAAGAAUAUUAGAGGAUCCUCACAAUCUUCAAAGCAUCCAAAGCAAGGAAAUUGCAUCUUAAUUGGCUGUUUUCCCAAAAACCAUACUCUUCCUUCCACAGGGGUGUACCAAAUUCCGUAGCAGAAUGAAAAUCUGAAUCACCCAUUCCAGAUUGUAAAGUGGAAUGAAGUCGCUGUAACCUGGGGUUCGCCACUGGAGAAUCUACCAAAUUAGAAGAUGGAAAGAUAACUGUUUGCACUGAAGCAUUUGCUUUUGUGGAAAUUUGCUGUGAUGAUUUUAGACUUUUGAUGUCCAGUGUUAAUUGUUGAAGCUUUUGUGUACACUGCUGUACCUCAUUCUGUAAAGUUGAAUUGGAAUUGGACUCCGCAAUAAAGGUAUUCAUUUGUUGUA